RNAcentral lists this ribosomal RNA (465 nucleotides) under uncultured bacterium. RNAcentral's name for it is "partial 16S ribosomal RNA". It matches the Rfam family "Bacterial small subunit ribosomal RNA", at positions 28 to 507 of the family's 1533-position model. The record is from RNAcentral.
GACGAACGCUGGCGGCGUGCUUAACACAUGCAAGUCGAACGGAAAGGCCCUGCUUGCAGGGUCCUCGAGUGGCGAACGGGUGAGUAACACGUGGGUGAUCUGCCCUGCACUUCGGGAUAAGCCUGGGAAACUGGGUCUAAUACCGGAUAGGAGCCAUUUUUAGUGUGAUGGUUGGAAAGUUUUUUCGGUGUAGGAUGAGCUCGCGGCCUAUCAGCUUGUUGGUGGGGUAAUGGCCUACCAAGGCGGCGACGGGUAGCCGGCCUGAGAGGGUGGACGGCCACAUUGGGACUGAGAUACGGCCCAGACGCCUACGGGAGGCAGCAGUGGGGAAUAUUGCACAAUGGGCGCAAGCCUGAUGCAGCGACGCCGCGUGGGGGAUGACGGCCUUCGGGUUGUAAACUCCUUUCGCUAGGGACGAAGCUUUUUGUGACGGUACCUAGAGAAGAAGCACCGGCUAACUACGUG